GACUAUGUGAGAAUAAAGAUGCGACAAACAGUAAUUACAAUGUCAACAUUCGUAGUGUUUCAGUACUAAACUCUUAUCGAAUUGACAUUUUUAGAAAAAAAAACCUACAAUCAUAAAUUAUUAGACGAUGCACUCAAAUUUUUGGAAAAUGGUAAAAAUGAAAACAAUUGGACCCUUUUUUUGUGUACAUACUCACUUAUCCACUAUAGUUUUUGCUUUUCAGUAUCAUCAAUAAACAAACUUUGUUUCUCCC
This 253-nucleotide long non-coding RNA is filed under the name Brassica rapa (field mustard). RNAcentral's name for it is "long non-coding RNA (BRAP_LNC000642)". Lineage: Eukaryota; Viridiplantae; Streptophyta; Magnoliopsida; Brassicales; Brassicaceae. The record is from RNAcentral.